GAUGAACGCUGGCGGCGUGCCUAAUACAUGCAAGUCGAACGCACAGCGAAAGGGUGCUUGCACCUUUCAAGUGAGUGGCGAACGGGUGAGUAACACGUGGACAACCUGCCUCAAGGCUGGGGAUAACAUUUGGAAAACAGAUGCUAAUACCGAAUAAAACUUAGUGUCGCAUGACACAAAAGUUUAAAAAGGCGCUUUGGCGUCACCUAAAAGAUGGAUCCGCGGUGCAUUAG
This 233-nucleotide ribosomal RNA is filed under the name uncultured bacterium. Its description in RNAcentral is "partial 16S ribosomal RNA". It matches the Rfam family "Bacterial small subunit ribosomal RNA", at positions 28 to 244 of the family's 1533-position model. The record is from RNAcentral.